Molecule: ribosomal RNA, 253 nt
Filed under: uncultured bacterium
Lineage: Bacteria
Description: partial 16S ribosomal RNA
Rfam family: Bacterial small subunit ribosomal RNA
Source: RNAcentral
GACAGAGGGUGCAAACGUUGUUCGGAUUUACUGGGCGUAAAGCGUGUGUAGGCGGCUUUGCAAGUCGGAUGUGAAAUCCCACGGCUCAACCGUGGAAGUGCAUCCGAAACGGCAUCGCUUGAGUCCCGGAGAGGAAGGUGGAAUGCUUGGUGUAGAGGUGAAAUUCGUAGAUAUCAAGCAGAACACCUGCGGCGAAGGCGGCCUUCUGGACGGUGACUGACGCUGAGACACGAAAGCGUGGGGAGCAAACAGG